This 99-nucleotide small nuclear RNA is filed under the name Pteropus vampyrus (large flying fox). The record is from RNAcentral. Lineage: Eukaryota; Metazoa; Chordata; Mammalia; Chiroptera; Pteropodidae.
GUGCUCACUUUGGCACCAUAUAUACUAAAAUAGAGAGAAGAUUAGCAUGGCCCAAGUGAAAGGAUGCCAGGCAAAUCUAUAUAACAUCUAUACUUUUGU